This 107-nucleotide non-coding RNA is filed under the name Aquimarina spongiae. Its description in RNAcentral is "Aquimarina sp. SAM-I sequence". It matches the Rfam family "SAM riboswitch aptamer (S box leader)". Rfam says of the family: The SAM riboswitch is found upstream of a number of genes which code for proteins involved in methionine or cysteine biosynthesis in Gram-positive bacteria. The SAM riboswitch acts at the level of transcription termination control. The predicted structure consists of a complex stem-loop region followed by a single stem loop terminator region. Lineage: Bacteria; Pseudomonadati; Bacteroidota; Flavobacteriia; Flavobacteriales; Flavobacteriaceae. The record is from RNAcentral. RNAcentral also lists the same sequence under 1 other name.
UAGUUAUUAAGAAAGGUGGAGGGAAUAGACCCUGUGAAACCUUAGCAACCCUUUAUUUAUAAAGAAGGUGCUAAAUUCUAACCCGAUUGUUCGGGAAAAGAUAACUC